UACGGAGGGAGCUAGCGUUGUUCGGAAUUACUGGGCGUAAGGCGCACGUAGGCGGCUAUUCAAGUCGGGGGUGAAAGCCCGGGGCUCAACCCCGGAACUGCCCUCGAAACUAGAUAGCUAGAAUCUUGGAGAGGCGAGUGGAAUUCCGAGUGUAGAGGUGAAAUUCGUAGAUAUUCGGAAGAACACCAGUGGCGAAGGCGACUCGCUGGACAAGUAUUGACGCUGAGGUGCGAAAGCGUGGGGAGCAAACAGG
Molecule: ribosomal RNA, 253 nt
Filed under: uncultured bacterium
Lineage: Bacteria
Description: partial 16S ribosomal RNA
Rfam family: Bacterial small subunit ribosomal RNA
Source: RNAcentral